UAAGUAACAACUGAGUCAGCAUAUACGGA
Molecule: small RNA, 29 nt
Filed under: Bombyx mori (domestic silkworm)
Lineage: Eukaryota; Metazoa; Arthropoda; Insecta; Lepidoptera; Bombycidae
Description: ovarian small RNA-2893
Source: RNAcentral